This 429-nucleotide ribosomal RNA is filed under the name uncultured bacterium. Its description in RNAcentral is "bacterial SSU rRNA". It matches the Rfam family "Bacterial small subunit ribosomal RNA", at positions 355 to 776 of the family's 1533-position model. The record is from RNAcentral.
UGGGGAAUAUUGGACAAUGGGGGAAACCCUGAUCCAGCAAUGCCACGUGUGCGAAGAAGGCCUUAGGGUUGUAAAGCACUUUAGUAGGGGAGCAAGGUCAUGACAUUAAUACCGUCAUGAUUUGAGAGUACCCUAAGAAUAAGCACCGGCAAACUCUGUGCCAGCAGCCGCGGUAAUACAGAGGGUGCAAGCGUUAAUCGGAAUUACUGGGCGUAAAGGGCUUGUAGGCGGUUAAUUAAGUUAGAUGUGAAAUACCUGGGCUUAACCUGGGAAUGGCAUUUAAUACUGGUUAGCUAGAGUAUGGUAGAGGAAAGGGGAAUUUCCGGUGUAGCAGUGAAAUGCGUAGAUAUCGGAAGGAACAUCAGUGGCGAAGGCGCCUUUCUGGACUAAUACUGACGCUGAGGAGCGAAGGCGUGGGGAGCAAACAGG